GGAGCCGCGGGCCCGCACGUCAGGGAGAAGAAGAGAAGGAGGAGGCAGGCCGGGCGACGGUUUAGGUGGGCCGCGAGUCCAAGCCGGCCCAAGUGCUAGCACGAGAGAGGGGCCGGUGGGAGAAAACGACCCAGAGAGCCCACCAGAGGAGAGGGUAGGCCGGCGGGUGAGAUGAAUAGGAGAAGGGGUGGGUCCGAGCCACGGGCCCAGCGUAAGAGAGAGGGGGUAGAGUAGGGACGCG
Molecule: long non-coding RNA, 241 nt
Filed under: Setaria italica (foxtail millet)
Lineage: Eukaryota; Viridiplantae; Streptophyta; Magnoliopsida; Poales; Poaceae
Description: long non-coding RNA (SITA_LNC003044)
Source: RNAcentral